Molecule: non-coding RNA, 877 nt
Organism: Odocoileus virginianus texanus
Lineage: Eukaryota; Metazoa; Chordata; Mammalia; Artiodactyla; Cervidae
Source: RefSeq, a predicted model, not a curated record
GUUGACAGUGAUUAGCUAAGGUUGCUAAUUGGCCUCAUCAGGUAUCUUUCUUUCUCUUUCUAAUUAUAUAACCAGUGGUCCUCAUCUGGUGGUGACUUUGCCCUCUGAGAACAUCUGGCAUUAUCUGGAAAAAUUUCUGGUUGCCACAGUUGUGUGUGUGUAGGUUUCUAUUGGCAUCUAAUAGGUAGAGGCCAGGGAUGCUACUAAACAUUCUAGAAUGCACAGGAUAGCCCUAACAACAAAGAAUUAUCCAUCCCCAAAUGUCAACAAUGAUACUACUGAGAAACCCUGAUAUAAACAUAGUUUGUAAGCGGGACAAAGAGACACUGUGAGCGGUCAGCUUUUUCAUGUUUUCAGAAGGUUCAACUGAAGUCAGCAAAUAAUGGAGACAAUGAAAAGAUAAUCAACAUAUUAGCUAAACAGCUGAAGAGGAAACUACCUCCCACAAAUGCAGGGAGAAGACAGAAACAUGAACUAACAUGUCCUUCUUGUGAUUCUUAUGAGAAAAAACCACCCAAGGAAUACCUAGAAAGACUGAAAUCACUCAUCCAAAAGAUGAUUCAUCAGCACCUGUCCUAGAACACAUGGGAUACGAAGGUUCCUGAAGAUCUCACUUGAAGCCGGACACUAUAUUGCAUACUUUAAAACAGCAGUGAAACCCACUUCUUGGUAUUCCAAGUGGACGAGUACAAUGUAUUAGUGAUGGGGGAACACUCAGAUGAGUGUUCAAGGUCAGGAUUAUUUCUCCAAAAUCACUAUGCAGUACUUCGGUUUCAUCUACACGCUCUGUUUAGUCAACUUGAAAAAAUUUUCUACUCAAUUUGAGUCUGAUUUCUUAUGUUAUAGAUUUCUAUGGCUUCUAAAGUUUUUACUUUAU